GAUGAACGCUGGCGGCGUGCCUAACACAUGCAAGUCGAACGGGUGUUACUAGUUGGAGAGCUUCGGUUUGAAGACAGGUAAUUACUAGUGGCGGACGGGUGAGUAACGCGUGGGCAACCUGCCCUUUGCACAGGGAUAACUGUGAGAAAUCACAGCUAAUACCUGAUAAGCUUACAGUAUAGCAUUAUACAGUAAGAAAAGAUUUAUCGGCAAAGGAGGGGCCCGCGUCUGAUUAGCUAGUUGGUGGGGUAAAGGCCUACCAAGGCGACGAUCAGUAGCCGGCCUGAGAGGGUGAACGGCCACAUUGGGACUGAGACACGGCCCAAACUCCUACGGGAGGCAGCAGUGGGGAAUAUUGCACAAUGGGGGAAACCCUGAUGCAGCGACGCCGCGUGAAGGAAGAAGUAUUUCGGUAUGUAAACUUCUAUCAGCAGGGAAGAAAAUGACGGUACCUGACUAAGAAGCCCCGGCUAAUUACGUGCCAGCCGCCGCAGUAAAAC
This 500-nucleotide ribosomal RNA is filed under the name uncultured bacterium. Its description in RNAcentral is "bacterial SSU rRNA". It matches the Rfam family "Bacterial small subunit ribosomal RNA", at positions 28 to 526 of the family's 1533-position model. The record is from RNAcentral.